RNAcentral lists this ribosomal RNA (292 nucleotides) under uncultured bacterium. RNAcentral's name for it is "partial 16S ribosomal RNA". It matches the Rfam family "Bacterial small subunit ribosomal RNA", at positions 505 to 796 of the family's 1533-position model. The record is from RNAcentral.
GUGUCAGCAGCCGCGGUAAGACGAAGGAUUCAAGCGUUGUCCGGAUUUACUGGGUUUAAAGGGUGCGUAGGCGGAAAUAUAAGUCAGUGGUGAAAUCCCGCAGCUCAACUGCGGAACUGCCAUUGAAACUGCAUUUCUUGAAUACGGUUGAGGUAGAUGGAAUGUAACAUGUAGCGGUGAAAUGCUUAGAUAUGUUACAGAACUCCGAUUGCGAAGGCAGUCUACUAAGCCGUUAUUGACGCUGAGGCACGAAAGCGUGGGGAGCAAACAGGAUUAGAAACCCCUGUAGUCC